AUUGAACGCUGGCGGAAUGCUUUACACAUGCAAGUCGAACGGCAGCACGGACUUCGGUCUGGUGGCGAGUGGCGAACGGGUGAGUAAUGUAUCGGAACGUGCCCAGUCGUGGGGGAUAACGUCUUGAAAAUUACGCUAAUACCGCAUACGAUCUAUGGAUGAAAGCGGGGGAUCGCAAGACCUCGCGCGAUUGGAGCCGCCGAUAUCAGAUUAGGUAGUUGGUGGGGUAAAGGCCCACCAAGCCAACGAUCUGUAGCUGGUCUGAGAGGACGACCAGCCACACUGGAACUGAGACACGGUCCAGACUCCUACGGGAGGCAGCAGUGGGGAAUUUUGGACAAUGGGCGAAAGCCUGAUCCAGCCAUUCCGCGUGCAGGAUGAAGGCCCUCGGGUUGUAAACUGCUUUUGUACAGAACGAAAAGGUUUCUACUAAUACUAGGAGCUCAUGACGGUACUGUAAGAAUAAGCACGGGCUAACUACGUGCCAGCCGCCGCGGUAA
Molecule: ribosomal RNA, 500 nt
Filed under: uncultured bacterium
Lineage: Bacteria
Description: partial 16S ribosomal RNA
Rfam family: Bacterial small subunit ribosomal RNA
Source: RNAcentral